Molecule: long non-coding RNA, 1160 nt
Filed under: Canis lupus familiaris (dog)
Lineage: Eukaryota; Metazoa; Chordata; Mammalia; Carnivora; Canidae
Description: lncRNA (ENSCAFG00030003488.1)
Source: RNAcentral
UUAGCAGGUACGGCACAUCUGUGAGUUAUUUCCAUGUCUCCAAGGGGAAAGGGAAAAAAACCCUGACCGUCCUUAAGUGAGACCAGAAUUCUUCUAUAUUUUUGCCUUGACAGCUAAGGAAAAAAUUUGCCAAAAACCAGAGGCGCUGCUGAGUGUUGGCGUGGGAAUGUUAGUUUAGUCAGACUUGCUCUGGGCCAUUUAAAUAAAAACAGGCACUUUGGUGGCAAAUUCCAGGGGGACGUGCCUGGGACUGGAGCUCUGCGCCCAGAAAGGGGGUUUUGUGACCUCCCUCCCUCCUACCCUGGGCUCUUUCUCUUGCUUCUCCAGCCUCUUUAUCAUCACAAUCAGCGUUUCACUGGCAAACAUUUGGUGCAAUAAUUUUCAAAAAUCAGCAAGGAAAGUCAAGUCUUUCAUGUGGUCUGGAGUGCGUUGGCCCAGCUGGAGGAGAGGGCUCCGAGCCCUCCCCCUCCCCAGCCCCGAGCUGUCUCUCUGGUUGCUUCAGCCACCUGGGGGUCUUUGCACAGCUUAAAUCAGUGCGGCCAUCACCAGGGGCAGAGGGAGGAUGUGCCAGCCAGCAGGCUGAAAUGGGGUUAGAUGUGUGUCCCCUAGGGGCCCACUGUCCUGCCUGGUCCAGGACUCUGGGGACCUGCUUUCAGGCCAGCACCCUGCUGGGGUGGGGGGUGAGGGAUCCCGUGGCUCUGGGCCGCCACGAGGGUGUGGAGGAGCUAAUAGAGUGACAAGAUCUGGAGGCAGGGGUCUGCCUUGGGGUCCAGUGGACUCUGGGGGCGGCCACCUGGCUGACAGGAGUUCCAGAGCACAGAGGCCAGAAGCUGUGGAGUGUGUGGCUCUGUGCUUAGGAAGGUGCCCCAGGAGGAACAUGGACACGUUGCCUGUGGCCAUGGGUCCUGGGGGCUCCGGGAAUGGGGUCCUCACCAAGGGAGCUACUGGUACAGAAAGAACAGCCAGGGUCUCACGCAGGCACAAGGACCGGAGGGGUUCCCGAGAGGGUCUCCUCUGGGAGGGACGGAGCUGAAUGUGCUGAGAUGGGGGUUUCCUGAGCUGCUAGAGGGUGGGGAUAGGGUAGCUGGUUGGAGGACUUGAUCAGCCAGGGCCCAGGGGUGGGGUCCUUGGGAGGCAGCCCCAGGGCAGCCCCAUUGGAG